GUAUGGUGCAAGCGUUAUCCGGAAUCAUUGGGCGUAAAGAGCUCGUAGGCGGGUUCAGCAAGUCGGGCUGUGAAAUCCCGAGGCUUAACCUCGGAACUGCAGUCGAUACUGCUGUGACUAGAGUCCGGUAGAGGAGAAUGGAAUUCCCGGUGUAGCGGUGAAAUGCGCAGAUAUCGGGAGGAACACCAGUAGCGAAGGCGGUUCUCUGGGCCGGUACUGACGCUGAGGAGCGAAAGCGUGGGUAGCAAACAGGAUUAGAUACCCUGGUAGUCCACGCCGUAAACGUUGGACACUAGGUGUGGCGUUCCGACCAACGGGUGCCGUGCCGAAGCUAACGCAUUAAGUGUCCCGCCUGGGGAGUACGGCCGCAAAGGCUA
This 377-nucleotide ribosomal RNA is filed under the name uncultured organism. RNAcentral's name for it is "partial 16S ribosomal RNA". It matches the Rfam family "Bacterial small subunit ribosomal RNA", at positions 527 to 896 of the family's 1533-position model. The record is from RNAcentral.